UGAGGAAUCUUGCGCAAUGGGGGAAACCCUGACGCAGCAACGCCGCGUGAGUGAGGAAGGUAUUCGGGUCGUAAAGCUCUGUCAGGCGGGAAGAAAUGGAUGGAGGUGAACAGCCGCCAUGCUUGACGGUACCGCCAGAGGAAGCACCGGCUAACUCCGUGCCAGCAGCCGCGGUAAUACGGGGGGUGCAAGCGUUGUUCGGAAUCAUUGGGCGUAAAGAGCGUGUAGGCGGCUUGGUAAGUCAGAUGUGAAAGCCCUGGGCUCAACCCGGGAAGUUCAUUUGAAACUGCCAGGCUCGAGUAGGGGAGAGGGAAGUGGAAUUCCUGGUGUAGAGGUGAAAUUCGUAGAUAUCAGUAGGAACACCGGUGGCGAAGGCGACUUCCUGGCCCUAUACUGUCGCUGAGACGCGAGAGCGUGGGUAGCAAACAG
RNAcentral lists this ribosomal RNA (429 nucleotides) under uncultured bacterium. RNAcentral describes it as "bacterial SSU rRNA". It matches the Rfam family "Bacterial small subunit ribosomal RNA", at positions 355 to 775 of the family's 1533-position model. The record is from RNAcentral.